This 431-nucleotide ribosomal RNA is filed under the name uncultured bacterium. RNAcentral describes it as "bacterial SSU rRNA". It matches the Rfam family "Bacterial small subunit ribosomal RNA", at positions 29 to 507 of the family's 1533-position model. The record is from RNAcentral.
AACGAACGCUGGCGGCAGGCUUAACACAUGCAAGUCGAGCGCCCUGCAAGGGGAGCGGCAGACGGGUGAGUAACGCGUGGGAACGUACCCUUUUCUACGGAAUAACGCAGGGAAACUUGUGCUAAUACCGUAUACGCCCUUUUGGGGAAAGAUUUAUCGGGGAAGGAUCGGCCCGCGUUGGAUUAGCUAGUUGGUGGGGUAACGGCUUACCAAGGCUUCGAUCCGUAGCUGGUCUGAGAGGACGAUCAGCCACACUGGGACUGAGACACGGCCCAGACUCCUACGGGAGGCAGCAGUGGGGAAUCUUGCGCAAUGGGGGCAACCCUGACGCAGCCAUGCCGCGUGAAUGAUGAAGGCCUUAGGGUUGUAAAGUUCUUUUGCCCGUGACGAUGAUGACGGUAACGGGAGAAUAAGCUCCGGCUAACUUCGUG